UGGGAUAUGUCGGGGAUUGCUCUCAGCCAACUUGCGCAGGAGAAGAAAGCUUGGAAGGAUCACCCUUUUGGCUUUGUGGCUGUCCCAACAAAGAACCCCGAUGGCAUGAUGAACCUGAUGAACUGGGAGUGUGCUGUCCCUGGAAAGAAGGGGACUCCGUGGGAAGGAGGCUUGUUCAUGCUACGGAGGCUUUUCAAAGGUGACUAUCCGUCCUCACCACCAAAAUGUAAAUUUGAGCCACCACUGUUUCAUCCAAACAUGUAUCCUUCUGGCACAGUGUGCCUGUCUAUUCUGGAGGAAGACAAGGACUGGAGGCCAGCUAUCACGAUCAAACAGGUCUUAUAAGGAAUGCAAGAACUUCUAAAUGAACCAAAGUAUUCAAGACCCAGCUCAAGCAGAGGCCUACACAAUUUACUGACCUCCUCAACCAAAACAGAGUGGAAUAUGAGAAAAGGGUUCGAGCACAAACUGAGAAAUUUGCCCCCUCAUAA
This is a non-coding RNA of Arvicanthis niloticus (Nile rat), 491 nucleotides long. Lineage: Eukaryota; Metazoa; Chordata; Mammalia; Rodentia; Muridae. The record is from RefSeq and is a predicted model, not a curated record.